Transfer RNA from Babesia microti strain RI, 71 nucleotides. It matches the Rfam family "tRNA". Rfam says of the family: Transfer RNA (tRNA) molecules are approximately 80 nucleotides in length. Their secondary structure includes four short double-helical elements and three loops (D, anti-codon, and T loops). The record is from Rfam. NCBI's taxonomy places the organism in Eukaryota, Apicomplexa, Aconoidasida, Piroplasmida, Babesiidae.
GCGCCUGUGGUCUAGUGGUAGAAUACUUCGUUGCCAUCGAGGUGGCCCGGGUUCGAUUCCCGGCAGGCGCA